CUCAGACAUUUAAAAAGAAGUAAUUUAAACUUUGGUUGAAUUCUCAUAAAAAAAUGAACCUUCAAACAUUUUUAUUCCACAGUGGAAACACUAUAUUCAAUGUGAUGGGAGUCCUGAUCCUUCAAUAGCCCAAGAAAUAAAUACUUUCAUUAGCUUGUGGAAAGAGGAAACAAAUCAGACUUUUAUGGAGGUGGUUGAGAAAAGUAAAUUAGUUCUACGUGUAAGUAUUUAAGAAUUGUCCUAUAAUAUAAAUUAAGUUACAAGAAUUCUGAUGUUAACUCCAAAAAUAAAAAAUUACUAUAUUAUUUGCCAGUUAGUAACACUAUUACUUCUAAACCCUUGGGUAUAGAGAGAGAUUUGGUAAACUUUUCACUUUCUUUUUAUAACUCUUAACAUUCUUUAUAUAAAGACAACAUAAAUGAGAAACAAUUUUCUGAGCCAGAAAAAAAAAUCAAGUUGUAUGCAUUUAUGUAGAUAACUUGGGUAUAGAUGGGUGACUUUUGUCCUCAGCUAGUAUCAUCUACUGUUAUGGUUUGUAUCUUAAUGUCUCCUGAAAGCCUGUAUGCUAAAGGCUUGGGUGGUCACUACAGCACUAUUGAGAGGUAUUGGAACCUUUAGAAAGUGAGGUCUAGUAGAAGGAAGUUAGGUCACUGAGGGUGUGCUAUUGAAGGGGAUAUAGGGACCCUGGCCCCUUCCUCUCUUGCUCUGGGUCCCAGCUGCAAUGAGGUGAGCACCUUUGUUCCACAAAUUGUUCCCUGCCAUAAUAUUCUACUAUAGGCCCAAAAGGAAUGGGACCAAGGGACUGUGAAUUUCAAGAAACCUCUGAAACUAUGAGCCAAAAUAAAUCUUUUAUCCUUAUAAAUUGAUUUUCUGAUAUUUUGUCACAAUGAUAUAAAUCUGAUUAACACAUCUACUAUUCAGUAAUUCAGUACCCAUAAUCUUUAAUGUUUACUAGAAGCCAGGUCUCUGCUCUCAGGUGCUGGGGGUGCGAAGAUGAAUAACAGUAUCCUAACUUCUUCUUUUGCUAAUAGAAUAGAUAGGUUAGCCUAUGAAGCUUCUACUUUACAAUGCACUUAAAAAUACUGUGAAACAAUAUUUUUAAAGUGAAGUUGGAAGAAUUUACCAGAAGAAAAUCAAGGAGGGAGAAAAUAUGAAAGAGUAGUUAACAGACAUGUAUAAUGGAGUAAAACAGACUAAAAACAGGGAAGAGUACAAGAAGGCAAUAAAGACUGGUAGAUAGGCAAUAUUCAAUGAGACAAUGGCUGACAAUUUUCUUGAACUGAAUGAUAUGAUUCUUCAAAUCCCAAGAAAGAAGAGAAACUUUUUUUUUUUUUUUAAGUACGUCCAAUACUCUGAAACCAGUACUCUGUGUGUGAGGUUUCUCAUACCAACUUAUAUCUUCUGCUCUUUGGGCACCAAUCAGGCAUCCUACAAUUCAAUGCUGACACUACCUAGAGUUGGCACAGGAGUCCUACUCUGUCCCACAAGUCUGUACCCCACUUCUAUCAUAAAUCCUAGGUUGCCACCUGUACUUUACAGAAACCAGCUAUAAGUAGGGUUCCCAUACCUCUUUCUCAGGUGUGGUAACUUACUAUAGUGGUUCUCAAAAUGUAGGCAAAUGUUUACUUUUGCUUACUAGCCUAUUAUGGAGGAUAUUAGGAUAUGGAAUAAAGAGUUGUGUAAAGAAAUACAUAAGGCAAGGUAUGUGGGAAGGGUUGUGGACAUUCCAUAACCUCUUUAGGUGUGUACGCCAAUCCCAGAGCUCUCAGAACCCCAUUGUUUAGGGUUUUUAUGGAGGCCCCAUUUCAUGGCAUGAUUGAUUAAGUCAUUGACCAUUGGUGAUUAAGUCAAUCUCCAGUUCCUCUCUCUUCCCUUGAGGUUAAGGAGUAGAGCUAAAAUUUCUAACCUUAAAGUGACCUUGUUUCCUCUGACAACCAGCCCCCAUCCUCCAAGAGUCACCACACUAGCAUAAACUCACUAGCAUAAACACACUAGCAUAAAGUUGAAGAGAACUUACUAUGAAAAACAAAAGCAAUUCCUCUAGACCUUUUCUGUCAGUCAGGGAUUUAGAAGCUGUAUGCCAGGAACCAAGAGUGGGGGAUGAACAAAAAAAGUCUAGAAAGUCCUUGAUUCUGAGGCAACUUCUAAGGUCUUCCAAUUCCUUUGAACACAAAUGUGCUCAGCAUGACAAAGAUUAUACUUUGGGGUAUGGUAUUCUGAGCUCCAACAUCCCUAAGGACCCUCCCCUGAGUUAUUUGAAUGCUAAUGUAUUCAUCACACAGUGUUCUUACCACUGUACACCCUCUCUAUCAGGGAAGUUGCCAGGCAUGAUCCUGGUUCAGGAAUCUGGUUCUUGGAAAUUAGCAGGGAGAUGGUAAGAAGGAAUGUUAGAGUCUACCAGUGAUAAGCUGGGUGGAGGGACAUCUUCCUGUGACAGAAUGUGGACUAUGGAAGUACAAGUAACAAAUGGUAGGAAAGAUGGAAAAAGGGUAAGUAGAACAAGAGACAGAAGAAGAGAGUCUUCACAGCUUCAGGAAAUAAAGCAGGAAGCUACCAGAGGUAGCUUGAAAAGAGUUGAAUAGCUAUACCAGAAGCACCUCAUGGUAAAUGCCAAUUUCCAAAUCAUGUUUAUUUAACAAACUCUCAUACAUGGCGUAAUCUGUACCAUGAAGUUGGGACCAUUAGCAACAUUUUACAAACAAUGAAGCUAAAGCACAGAGAUGUUAAAUAAUUUGUCAAGUCUUACUACUAGUAAGAGGUGGUUAGGAUUAGACUAUGGUGUUACAUUUCUUUAAAAAAAAUUAGUUGUAGAUAGACACAAUACCUUUAUUUUUAAUGUGGUGCUGAGGAUCAAACCUAGUGCCUCAUAUCUGGUAGGCAGGCGCUCUAUCACUGAUUUACAGUCCCAGCCCCUGCUGCAUCUCUUAAUUCAGAAAUUUUCUGUAUGUAUCUCUGUCAGUGCUCAAAAUUAAGUUCUGCUACUUACUAAUUCCUUGAUCAUCCAAGGCCUUGGUAUCCUCAUCUGUAUAAUAGACACAAUAAUACCUACUUCAUAUAAUUAUGAUAAAGAAUAAAUUAAAACUACAUGGCAUUUAGAACAAUUUCUAGAACAUAGUAUUCAGUAUUGGUAGUUUUCCUCCUCUUCUCCUUUGCCCCCUUGUUAUUGUCAUACUUUUUGUUAUUUAUUAAUUAUUAACAUGGUUUGGAUGUGGUCUGUCCCCAAAGUUUAAUGUACUGGAAGCUUGGUGCCUAGUGUUGUGCUACUGUGAGUUUUUUUCUUUUUAAUUAUUCUUAGUUAUACAUGACAAUAGACUCUUUUUUUUAUAUACUUAUAUAAACAUGGAAUAUAUCUUAUUCUAAUUAGAACAGACAUGAUGCCAGUUCAUGAAUCUGGAUCUUGGCAAUUAUCUGGGAGGUGGUGAGUUAUGUCUGAUUAAUUUCACUGUCUUUCCUAUUCCUAUUCCCCCUUCCCUUCCCUUCUUUCUCCUCUGUCUAAUCCAUUUAACCUUCUAUUCUUCCCCUCCCUACCUUGUUGUGAGUUAGCAUCCACAUAUCAGGAGAACAUUUGGCCUUUGGUUUUUUAGGAUUGGUUUAUUUCACUUAGCAUGAUAGUCUCUAGAUCCAUCUAUUUAUUAGCAAAUAUCAUAAAGUCAUUCUUAUUUAUGACUGAGUAAUAUUCCAUGUGUAUAUGUAUCAAAACAAUUUUUAAUCUAUUCAUCUGUUGAAGGGCACCCAGGUUGGUUCCAUAGUUUAGCUAUUGUGAAUUGAGCUGCUUUAAACAUUGAUGUGGCCACAUCACUAUACUAUGCUGAGUUUAAGUCCUUUGGGUAUUUGCUGAAGAUUGAUAUAACUGUGUCAAAUGGUGAUUCCAUUCCUAGUUUUUUGAGUAAUCUCCAUACUGCUUUCCAGAGCAAUUGCACCAAUUUUCAGGCUCAUCAGCAAUGUAAGAGUUGACCCUUUUUCCUCACAUCCUUGCCAACAUUUAUUGUUAUUUAUAUUCUUGAAAAUUGCUAUUCUGACUAGAGUAAGGUGAAAUCUCAGUGCAGUUUUAGUUUGCAUAGCUCUAAGUGCUACAGAUGAUGUUGUAUAUUUUUUCACAUAUUUGUUACUAUUUUUUCUUUUGAGAAAUGGCUGUUUAGUUUCUUUUCCCAUUUAUUGAUUGGGUUAUUUGUUUUUUGAAUAUCCUGGAAAUUAACAUCUUAUCUGAGGUGCAGGUGACAAAGAUUUUCUCCCAUUCUGUAGGCUCUCUUUUCAUGGUCUUGAUUGUUUACUUUGCUGUGAAACUUUUUAGUUUGACACCAUCCCAUUUACUGGUUUUUUAUUUUACCUUUUAUACUUCAGGAAUCUUGUUGAGGAAGUUAGUUCUCAAGCUGACAUGUUGAAGUGUUGGGCCUACCUUCUAGUAAGUUUCUAGGUUGCUGGUCUAAUACCUAGGUCUUUGAUCCAUUUUGAGUUGAGUUUUGUGCAGAUAGGGGUUAAAUUUUAUUCUACUACAUUUGGAUUUCCAGUUUCCCUAGCACCAUUUGUUGAAGGUGGUAAGCUUUUUAAGAGGUGAGGUAUAGUAGAAGGUAAUUAGGUCAUGAGAGCUCCAUCAUCUUAAAAGGAUUAAUGUGUUCUUGAAGGAGUUGGUCUGGUCUCAUGGGAGUGGAUUAGUCCUCUUGAGAAUAGUUUGUUAUAAGUGAUCAUGGCACCACCUCUGACUCCCUUCUUUGUGUGUGCCAUUCUUAUACAUGUUUCCACCAUUGUGAGGCCAUUAUUAAAAUGGAGCAGAUGCUGGUGCCAUGUUCCUGAACCUAUGUGAGCUAAAUAAACUACUUCUCUUUUAAAAAGUACCCAGCCUUGGGUAUUCUGUUUUAGCAAUACAAACUACACUAACAUAUUCCUAUUGUUUCAGAGUCUUAAAGAAGUCAAAAUUUUUCAUUAUUUGUCAUUUUGCUAAUGAAAGCUCUAUUAUACUUAGUGGAGAAUAUUUAAAAGGGAGUUUGGGAGGAAAUAUUUUUAUGAUCUUAAAUUAUAGAAUGAAUACAGAAAGGAUUUCUACAUGUUUCACUGAGGAUAAAAAGUUUCUCAAUCCAAAAGUGAUAUAACAUCCCCCUUUUACUUUUAAUUUGACUAUUUGUCAGUGGAUUAAUGUAAAUAUUCUUUAUAUUACAGCUAAUUGAAAAGUUGAAAUUGAUUUUAAUGGAAACUCCACCAUUUGAUUUGCAAGAACAAAAUGUAAUACAAUACCAAGGAUCAAUUCUACAACUUCAGGAGCUCCUUCAUCUUAAGUUUAACAAAGCCACAGAAAUACUUCUCAGAGUAUGUGUGAACUUUCCAAAUAAUCCUAACAUUUAAAAACAUUAAAAUUUUGUACUAUACAAUAAAAUAAUUCAAUUUUCUUAAAAUAUUAAAAGGGUAUGGAAAAAUUAGGAUAACUUGAAGCACACAUAUUUAAUGCAGAUUUAGUAACUGUUAACAUUUUUAAAGAAAUAUCAUCGAUAUAACUGAAGUCAAUUUUCUGAUACAUGCCAAGGUUUACUAAGUUCACUAUGAAAAUAAGUUUACAAAACAGUAUUAGAAAUUCACUUUGAGUAAAUCAUUUGGCACAAGAUUACAAGUAUUGAUAUUCUAUUUUUCUCUAACUUUUUAUUUUAAAAGCACUAUAUUUGAAUGUGAAAUUUGAAGAAUAGUACCAUGAAUCCCCAAAUACUCGCUAUGUCGAUCUAAUUCAUUUUUUAUCUUUACUGAGCUAUAAUUGAUAUGUAUUAAAACCAAUAAUAUUUAAAUGUCUGGUAGUAUUCUUUAUCUCUAUAUUUUCUUUACCAUUUGAAAAUUGUUGUU
This 5823-nucleotide long non-coding RNA is filed under the name Marmota monax (woodchuck). Lineage: Eukaryota; Metazoa; Chordata; Mammalia; Rodentia; Sciuridae. The record is from RNAcentral.